AUUGAACGCUGGCGGCAUGCCUUACACAUGCCAGUCGAACGGCAGCGGGCCCUUCGGGGUGCCGGCGAGUGGCGAACGGGUGAGUAAUGCAUCGGAACGUACCCGGGAGAGGGGGAUAACCGGCCGAAAGGCUGGCUAAUACCGCAUGAACUCGGAAGAGCAAAGCGGGGGACCUUCGGGCCUCGCGCUCUCGGAGCGGCCGAUGUCCGAUUAGGCUAGUUGGUGGGGUAAAGGCCCACCAAGGCGAUGAUCGGUAGCGGGUCUGAGAGGACGAUCCGCCACACUGGGACUGAGACACGGCCCAGACUCCUACGGGAGGCAGCAGUGGGGAAUCUUGGACAAUGGGCGCAAGCCUGAUCCAGCAAUGCCGCGUGGGUGAAGAAGGCCUUCGGGUUGUAAAGCCCUUUCGGCGGGGAAGAAAUCGGUCAGGCGAAUAGUCUGGCCGGAUGACGGUACCCGCAGAAGAAGCACCGGCUAACUACGUG
Molecule: ribosomal RNA, 485 nt
Filed under: uncultured bacterium
Lineage: Bacteria
Description: partial 16S ribosomal RNA
Rfam family: Bacterial small subunit ribosomal RNA
Source: RNAcentral